GGGAAAUGGGAAGAGGGGCCAGCCUCAGGCCCCACAACAAAUUGGGGCA
This is a non-coding RNA of Pongo abelii (Sumatran orangutan), 49 nucleotides long. The record is from Rfam. Lineage: Eukaryota; Metazoa; Chordata; Mammalia; Primates; Hominidae.